GAGUGUAUAGCUCAGUGGUAGAGUAUGUGCUCAGCAUGCAUGAGGUCCUGGGUUCAAUCCCCGGUAAACCA
This 71-nucleotide transfer RNA is filed under the name Camelus bactrianus (Bactrian camel). It matches the Rfam family "tRNA". From Rfam's summary of the family: Transfer RNA (tRNA) molecules are approximately 80 nucleotides in length. Their secondary structure includes four short double-helical elements and three loops (D, anti-codon, and T loops). RNAcentral also lists the same sequence under 1 other name. Lineage: Eukaryota; Metazoa; Chordata; Mammalia; Artiodactyla; Camelidae. The record is from Rfam by way of RNAcentral.